Molecule: ribosomal RNA, 465 nt
Filed under: uncultured bacterium
Lineage: Bacteria
Description: partial 16S ribosomal RNA
Rfam family: Bacterial small subunit ribosomal RNA
Source: RNAcentral
GAUGAACGCUGGCGGCGUGCUUAACACAUGCAAGUCGAACGGAAAGGCCCAAGCUUGCUUGGGUACUCGAGUGGCGAACGGGUGAGUAACACGUGGGUGAUCUGCCCUGCACUUCGGGAUAAGCCAGGGAAACUGGGUCUAAUACCGGAUAGGACCACAUUUUGGAUGGUGUGGUGGAAAGUUUUUCGGUGUGGGAUGAGCUCGCGGCCUAUCAGCUUGUUGGUGGGGUAAUGGCCUACCAAGGCGUCGACGGGUAGCCGGCCUGAGAGGGUGUACGGCCACAUUGGGACUGAGAUACGGCCCAGACUCCUACGGGAGGCAGCAGUGGGGAAUAUUGCACAAUGGGCGCAAGCCUGAUGCAGCGACGCCGCGUGGGGGAUGACGGCCUUCGGGUUGUAAACUCCUUUCGCUAGGGACGAAGCGCAAGUGACGGUACCUGGAGAAGAAGCACCGGCUAACUACGUG